GGUGUUUUGAGACUUGUUAUUGAUUUUACUAUCCACAAACACCUCAUUUGCUUUAUAAUUCUUUUUUUUAGUUGUUGAAUGAUAUAGGGGUCCUAUUAUGUUUGUGAGUCUUAUUCCCUAAAAUCAGGUUUGUGUUUUAAUUUAACAAUUCGAGUGCAUUGCAUUGAAUUUAGAAAUUGAGGGUUGUGUGGAUCCUAAUAGAGGUUAAUAAAACAUCCUCUUGUUCUCGAGCUAACAACAAAGCCUAUUCAAUAUAAAGAUUCAAUCUUUAUGCCCUAUUUCA
Molecule: long non-coding RNA, 283 nt
Organism: Beta vulgaris subsp. vulgaris (sugar beet)
Lineage: Eukaryota; Viridiplantae; Streptophyta; Magnoliopsida; Caryophyllales; Amaranthaceae
Exons: 2
Source: RefSeq, a predicted model, not a curated record